AUUGCUUGAAAGAAUGGGGUUU
Molecule: small nuclear RNA, 22 nt
Filed under: Arabidopsis thaliana (thale cress)
Lineage: Eukaryota; Viridiplantae; Streptophyta; Magnoliopsida; Brassicales; Brassicaceae
Description: snRNA_17806
Source: RNAcentral